UACGUAGGGUGCGAGCGUUGUCCGGAAUUAUUGGGCGUAAAGGGCUCGUAGGCGGUCUGUCGCGUCGGGAGUGGAAACUCAGGGCUUAACCCUGAGCCUGCUUCCGAUACGGGCAGACUAGAGGUAUGCAGGGGAGAACGGAAUUCCUGGUGUAGCGGUGGAAUGCGCAGAUAUCAGGAGGAACACCUGUGGCGAAAGCGGCGCACUGGACCAUAACUGACGCUGAUGCGCGAAAGCUAGGGGAGCAAACAGG
Molecule: ribosomal RNA, 253 nt
Filed under: uncultured bacterium
Lineage: Bacteria
Description: partial 16S ribosomal RNA
Rfam family: Bacterial small subunit ribosomal RNA
Source: RNAcentral